Molecule: non-coding RNA, 450 nt
Organism: Schizosaccharomyces pombe (fission yeast)
Lineage: Eukaryota; Fungi; Ascomycota; Schizosaccharomycetes; Schizosaccharomycetales; Schizosaccharomycetaceae
Source: the annotation of a GenBank genome assembly
UAAGCACAGGACCUUUAGUUGACAAAAACUCCUUCAUUUUUUUAGCCAAAUCUUCUCUCUUUUCUACACGUAGUGCUUUGAUGCCCAUAGCGUCAGCCAACUUAACGAAGUUGGGAUUCUUUUGAUGAGUAUGAGAAUAGCGUUUCUCAUAAAACAAGUUUUGCCAUUGAGUGACCAUGCCUUGCUCUUCAUUAUUUAGGAUAAGAAUUUUAACUGGGAUAUCAAAUUGACGGACGGUAGCAAGUUCCAUACCAGUCAUUGAAAAUGAAGCAUCACCAUCAAUAUCUAUAACAAUAUCUUUAGGUGCAGCAACGCUAGCACCUAUGGCAGCUGGGAGACCAAAUCCCAUAGUACCGAGACCACCGGAGGUUACCAAAGAACUAGGUUUUGUCCAACGAUAGAAUGUAGCGGCCCACAUUUGAUGUGCACCGACACCGGUGGUAAUAGUGA